Molecule: ribosomal RNA, 548 nt
Filed under: Yamadazyma membranifaciens
Lineage: Eukaryota; Fungi; Ascomycota; Pichiomycetes; Serinales; Debaryomycetaceae
Description: eukaryotic LSU rRNA
Rfam family: Eukaryotic large subunit ribosomal RNA
Source: RNAcentral
AAACCAACAGGGAUUGCCUUAGUAGCGGCGAGUGAAGCGGCAAUAGCUCAAAUUUGAAAUCUGGCACCUUCGGUGUCCGAGUUGUAAUUUGAAGAAGGUAUCUUUGGUUUUGGCUCUUGUCUAUGUUCCUUGGAACAGGACGUCACAGAGGGUGAGAAUCCCGUGCGAUGAGAUGCCCAAUUCCAUGUAAAGUUCCUUCGACGAGUCGAGUUGUUUGGGAAUGCAGCUCUAAGUGGGUGGUAAAUUCCAUCUAAAGCUAAAUAUUGGCGAGAGACCGAUAGCGAACAAGUACUGUGAAGGAAAGAUGAAAAGAACUUUGAAAAGAGAGUGAAAAAGUACGUGAAAUUGUUGAAAGGGAAGGGCUUGAGAUUAGACUUGGAAUUUUCCAUUUAUGGAGCUUUCCGGGCCAGCAUCAGUUUGGAUGGCAGGAUAAUUGCGUUGGAAAGUAGCACCACUUCGGUGGUGUGUUAUAGACUUCGUCGAUACUGCCUAUCUAGACUGAGGACCGCGUCUUUGACUAGGAUGCUGGCGUAAUGAUCUUANNNNNN